This 209-nucleotide ribosomal RNA is filed under the name uncultured bacterium. RNAcentral's name for it is "partial 16S ribosomal RNA". It matches the Rfam family "Bacterial small subunit ribosomal RNA", at positions 1284 to 1500 of the family's 1533-position model. The record is from RNAcentral.
AGUCUCAGUUCAGAUUGCAGGCUGAAACUCGCCUGCAUGAAGCCGGAAUUGCUAGUAAUCGCGCAUCAGCCACGGCGCGGUGAAUACGUUCCCGGGCCUUGUACACACCGCCCGUCAAGCCAUGGGAGCCGGGGGUACCUGAAGUGCGUAACCGCAAGGAGCGCCCUAGGGUAAAACUGGUGACUGGGGCUAAGUCGUAACAAGGUACC